RNAcentral lists this ribosomal RNA (529 nucleotides) under Metagrion sp. RMNH INS 501975. Its description in RNAcentral is "partial 16S ribosomal RNA". It matches the Rfam family "Bacterial large subunit ribosomal RNA", at positions 1829 to 2619 of the family's 2925-position model. The record is from RNAcentral. Lineage: Eukaryota; Metazoa; Arthropoda; Insecta; Odonata; Argiolestidae.
GUCCUCUUGGUUUUGUGGGAGGUUUGGCCUGCCCGGUGAUAUUUUAACGGCCGCGGUAUUUUGACCGUGCAAAGGUAGCAUAAUCAUUAGUCUUUUAAUAGGAGGCUGGAAUGAAAGGUUUGACGAGGCAAUAACUGUCUCAUUUAAAUAAAAUUAAAAUUUAACUUUUAAGUUAAAAGGCUUAAAUGUUGUUGGAAGACGAGAAGACCCUAUAGAGCUUUAUAUUUAUGUUUUUAACCUUUAUUAGUUUAUGAUUAUAGGUUAUUGUUUAUAAAUAUUUUGUUGGGGUGACAAAAAUAUUUAAUUAACUUUUAUAUUUAUUUUACAUUAAUUUGUGAUUGUUAGAUCCUUUAUUAUUGAUCAUUAGAAUAAGUUACCUUAGGGAUAACAGCGUAAUCCUCUUUUGGAGUUCAAAUUUACAAGGGGGCUUGCGACCUCGAUGUUGGAUUAAGAUAAUAAUUAGGUGUAGCAGCUUAAUUUAUAGGUCUGUUCGACCUUUAAAUUCUUACAUGAUCUGAGUUCAGACCGG